RNAcentral lists this small RNA (127 nucleotides) under Marmota monax (woodchuck). Lineage: Eukaryota; Metazoa; Chordata; Mammalia; Rodentia; Sciuridae. The record is from RNAcentral.
GCUGGGAGUAGUGGUGCAUACCUGUAAUCCCAGCAACUCAGGAGGCUGAAACAGGAGGAUAGCAAGUUCAAAGCUAGCCUCAGAAAUUUAGUGAUGCCCUUGUCAACUCAGCAAGACCCUGUCUCAA